Coffea arabica (coffee) is the source of this 206-nucleotide non-coding RNA. The record is from RefSeq and is a predicted model, not a curated record. Lineage: Eukaryota; Viridiplantae; Streptophyta; Magnoliopsida; Gentianales; Rubiaceae.
CACUUUGACUACCAAGAUUAACCCAAAAAAAUUACGUCUAAUCAUUCUGGAGGGGAAACGAAAAGAAAUGAAGCAUUUGCAUGGUAAUCGAGUGACUUUUAAGAAAUAGAGGAGUUCACAAAGAGAACUACACGCAGUUGGUUUCUUCAGGUUCAGAUAUGGAAAAUCUUUUGCAAUGUGUCUUGCCUACGGUUUUUCAUAUAAAU